UAUGUGAUCGUCUCUCGCAUAUCAAUAAGCGGAGGAAAAGAAACUAACAAGGAUUCCCCUAGUAACGGCGAGUGAAGCGGGAAGAGCUCAAAUUUGAAAUCUUAAAGGGUUUCCCUUUACGAAUUGUAGUUUAAAGAAGUGUUUUCUGUUGAGGUUUUGGUAAAAGUUCUUUGGAAUAGGACAUCAUAGAGGGUGAGAAUCCCGUAUUUGACCUUUACUUUCAACUUUGUGAUCACACUUUCAAAGAGUCGGAUUGUUUGGGAAUGCAGUCCAAAAUGGGUGGUAAAUUUCAUCUAAAGCUAAAUAUUGGCGAGAGACCGAUAGCGAACAAGUACCGUGAGGGAAAGAUGAAAAGAACUUUGAAAAGAGAGUUAAACAGUACGUGAAAUUGUCAAAAGGGAAGCGUUUGACACCAGUGUUGUUUUUCUGAAAAUCAAUUAAUGAACUGUUUAUGCUAAGCUGUUUAGACUUUAUCAGCUAUCUGCUUUAGUUUUGAGCUUUUCUUUAAUGCACUUUUCAGUUAACAAGUCAACAUCAAUUUCUUUUGCUGUAAAAAAGCUUGAGGAAGGUGGCUUGAGAUUCGUCUUAAGUGUUUAUAGCCUCUUGCCUAUGCAGUCGGAGAGAUUGAGGUCUGCAGCGUAGAUCCUUCGGGGCUAAAUGCAUUUGUGCUAAGUUAUAGCAUUUUAUAGACAACUUGUUGACUAUGAUUUGUCUUGCUAGCUUACUCGCUUAUGUUAUUUUACCUACGCUUAGGAUGUUGAGUCGUAGAGCACGCAG
This 777-nucleotide ribosomal RNA is filed under the name uncultured Neocallimastigales. Its description in RNAcentral is "partial large subunit ribosomal RNA". It matches the Rfam family "Eukaryotic large subunit ribosomal RNA", at positions 24 to 628 of the family's 3401-position model. The record is from RNAcentral. Lineage: Eukaryota; Fungi; Neocallimastigomycota; Neocallimastigomycetes; Neocallimastigales.